ACCUAAGGUAGAGGUGCUGUAAUUAAGAGUAUUUACUAGUAGUCGGCAGAUUAAGAUAAGUAAAAAAAGGGAUUACAGCCGAAGAUAAUCAAAUUGGCAAAUUUAUUAUCUGGCGUUAUGCAUAAUAUGUAUGACGCUGUCAUGUUGUUAUUAAUAUGGAGAGCUACAAGGUUA
Clostridium novyi NT is the source of this 174-nucleotide regulatory RNA element. It matches the Rfam family "Lysine riboswitch aptamer". From Rfam's summary of the family: Riboswitches are metabolite binding domains within certain messenger RNAs that serve as precision sensors for their corresponding targets. Allosteric rearrangement of mRNA structure is mediated by ligand binding, and this results in modulation of gene expression. This family includes riboswitches that sense lysine in a number of genes involved in lysine metabolism, including lysC. The record is from Rfam. NCBI's taxonomy places the organism in Bacteria, Bacillati, Bacillota, Clostridia, Eubacteriales, Clostridiaceae.